Molecule: ribosomal RNA, 515 nt
Filed under: uncultured soil bacterium
Lineage: Bacteria
Description: bacterial SSU rRNA
Rfam family: Bacterial small subunit ribosomal RNA
Source: RNAcentral
AGAACGAACGCUGGCGGCGCGCCUAAUACAUGCAAGUCGAGCGAGAAGGUGUAGCAAUACACUUGUAAAGCGGCGAACGGGUGAGGAAUACAUGGGUAACCUACCAUCGAGUGGGGAAUAACCAGCCGAAAGGUUGGCUAAUACCGCGUACGCCUCCAAAUCUUCGGAUUCGGAGGGAAAGCCACACUGUGAGUGUGGCGCUCUUUGAUGGGCUCAUGUCCUAUCAGCUUGUGGUAGGUAACGCCUACCAAGGCUUUGACGGUAGCUGGUCUGAGAGGACGGUCAGCCACACUGGCACUGCGACACGGGCCAGACUCCGUACGGGAGGCAGGCAGGUAAAGGAUAUUGCGACAAUGGGGACGAAAAGCCUGGAACGCAGGCCGACGGCCGCGGUGGGGGAUGGAAGGUCUUUCGGAUUUACGGUAAACCCCCCGUUUGGGAAGGAAGAGUGGACGAGCAAGUCGUUCGGACGUACUCCAGAGCAGACCGACGACCGACUUCGUGCCAGCCAGCCG